ACGGGUGCUUGCACCUGGUGGCGAGUGGCGAACGGGUGAGUAAUACAUCGGAACAUGUCCUGUAGUGGGGGAUAGCCCGGCGAAAGCCGGAUUAAUACCGCAUACGAUCCACGGAUGAAAGCGGGGGACCUUCGGGCCUCGCGCUAUAGGGUUGGCCGAUGGCUGAUUAGCUAGUUGGUGGGGUAAAGGCCUACCAAGGCGACGAUCAGUAGCUGGUCUGAGAGGACGACCAGCCACACUGGGACUGAGACACGGCCCAGACUCCUACGGGAGGCAGCAGUGGGGAAUUUUGGACAAUGGGCGAAAGCCUGAUCCAGCAAUGCCGCGUGUGUGAAGAAGGCCUUCGGGUUGUAAAGCACUUUUGUCCGGAAAGAAAUCCUUGGCUCUAAUACAGUCGGGGGAUGACGGUACCGGAAGAAUAAGCACCGGCUAACUACGUGCCAGCAGCCGCGGUAAUACGUAGGGUGCAAGCGUUAAUCGGAAUUACUGGGCGUAAAGCGUGCGCAGGCGGUUUGCUAAGACCGAUGUGAAAUCCCCGGGCUCAACCUGGGAACUGCAUUGGUGACUGG
This 569-nucleotide ribosomal RNA is filed under the name Burkholderia cenocepacia. Its description in RNAcentral is "bacterial SSU rRNA". It matches the Rfam family "Bacterial small subunit ribosomal RNA", at positions 72 to 636 of the family's 1533-position model. Lineage: Bacteria; Pseudomonadati; Pseudomonadota; Betaproteobacteria; Burkholderiales; Burkholderiaceae. The record is from RNAcentral.